RNAcentral lists this small nuclear RNA (105 nucleotides) under Moschus moschiferus (Siberian musk deer). The record is from RNAcentral. Lineage: Eukaryota; Metazoa; Chordata; Mammalia; Artiodactyla; Moschidae.
GCUCCCUUUGACAACACAUAUACUAAAGUUGGAACACUACAGAGAAGAUGAACACAGUUCCUGUGCAAAAAUGACAUGCAAAUUUCUGAAGCUUUCCAUAUUUUU